GCUAUUAUUUGUAGAAGUAUGAUGUUGUAACUGUCAUAUACAACUUUUGUUUGGUCUGUUGAUUCUCUCUCAUACCUUUUAGUUUCUUAAGAGUACAUCUUUGAAGCUCUACCUGAAUUUUAGGCCUGAUCUUGUGUAAAUGUGAAUAAUGAUAUCUUUAUCUCAUGCACGUCACUUAGUUCUAUCCUUUAAUUUUUUUUUUUUUUUUUUUGCCAAAAACCUUGGAGCUUAAAACCCAUAAUCAGAUAAUGGAUGUUCACUGCCAUUACCCUACUAUUGGCAGAUUGUGAUUAGGCCCACAAAAGGGCUUGAUACUGAUAGUGGAAGCCUAGCUGCGACUAAAGUAGCAUUUGAAGUAGAUUUAUCUUUCCACGUGAAGUCUUCUUCCGCUAAAUUGAACAUUCAUCUGAAGUCAAUUAUGAUCUCCAGUUAGGAAGUCAAUGCACUCAAAUAAUAUUUUCCCUGAAUAAUGAGGAUACAUGACACUAUGACAGUAUGUAUAGUAAGCAAAUCAUCUGAAAAUAUUGAGAGGUCCUUAAGAGUUUUAACUGUCUUGCAACAUGGGAAACUAGAUUAUAUGAUUUGUUAGUUUAUGUAUGCUAAUAUUUCCUCCUACCUUUUUAUGCUUUCAUGAUUUUCUUUUGUGUGUAUGUUGUGGUGGGGGGCUGUGGUCCAACUCUGUCUUUCUUCUUGAUGUAUUACAUUGCAUUUCCGUUGUCAACCUUUUGAAGUAAGCUUAGUACUUGAGUCAUCUGAAGCUUCUUGUGUCAUUAUUACUUAAGUUAAAUUGUAACCACAUCCUUUUUAUAAAUUAAUUUGAUAUUAAACUAGAGCGAAACAACUGGUGUUUUGAGGAUUUUAAAAGGACAGUAAUCAAUCUAAAAUUUUUAUUUUUUAAAACACUAUUAGAUUGGAUGUCUAUCGUAGAAAUCCAUUCUAUCUCUUCGAUUUAUGAUUUGACGGAUGCUUUUAUUUGUGUUCUGAUUAUAUUGAUCCCCAGUUGUAUAUGUCAUGUAUUCUUGGGUGACUCUCUUUUUUAAUGUUUGAAUAACAUUUUUAUUACUUAUAUAAAAAAAAAAUAAAAAAAUAAAAAAAAUAAAAAAAUCGGGGCUCAAGUGAUAACCUAGUGGUAAUGGCAUCCUUUGUGGUGCCCCAUUUUUGUGGUUUGAGCCCCACCUCCUCCUCCCCCUUUAUCUACCUAUCAAAAAAAGUAUUAAUUCCAUGAUAAGAGAGAUUGCCACAUUUGUAAUAUGUUUUUAUAUGUAUGGCAAUGAAGAAUUCUGGAAAACUUCUUAUGAUAUACUCCUUAUGAUAAGUGCCAGCUUGAAAGACUCAUCAGCUAUUUCUUAUGCACCUUAUCACAAACUGAUUUAGCAUGAUAAUGGGCUAUCUUUCUGGCUCAUCUCCUCAGUUAAAAAGUGGAACAGUGUCUGCUUUGUCAGUAUUGGUUUAUCAGGAUGUAGAUAUCUGAUGUCAAUGUCUGAUCUUGUCCCCUUACUUUUAUCUUUGCUGCAUACCAAAGUGGUGGAAGUGAUAAAAGUGAGUGUUCUCUUAAUUGCUCCUGAUUCAGAGUGUUGGUACAAUUUUGCUUUUGAUGCUAGUUGAUUGCAUAUUUAACGGCUGUUUUGGGCAUUUUGAAAGUACUAGUGUCAUGCUUACAAGACAAAGACCUGCACAGUCUUUUGUCUGGUGUUGUGUAUGAAGUUCAACCAUGGUCAUAGUUCCCAGACAUCAUUUUAGAUCAAAGGCACAUGCAAAUUUGACAUUAAGCACUUAUUUGCCUUAUAUACAUAAUAAUGAAAAUGUAUUGGUGUUGGUGUUGGAAAUUUUCAAUACAUGCACGUACAUCUUUAUUUACAGGUCAUUGUAAUAAUGGAGAUUUUGAUACGGAAGUGAGGUUCUGCAUCAGUCGUCAGUUACUCCAGAGAAAUAUAAGGGUUUUCUGAAGGCCAUUUUGGAGAACCGCCAUUGGAAAACAAGUCCAAAGAAUCUGGUGCUGGUGAUACAGAAAUGACUCUUGCAGAUUCAUUUACAAAGGCUUCUGGAUCCAUGUUCGACUGAUCAAUUUUUUAUAUGCUGAUCUGUUCUUUCUUUAGAUCUCGCUCUAUCCUUUCUUUAGAUCUCUAUCUCAUUACCAUUGGACUUGCUUAUUUUGCUUUAUUUUUUUUAGGCCGGAGAAGUGGAAACACAAGGCAAUGGGUUCUAUAACUGAGGAGAAUAGUUCAGUAGAACAAAGGAAAAGAAAGAGAGAGAAGAAAAUCAAUGCUCUUAUCCCUAGCUCAAAUGAGCGUCAAUUGUCAUGUGGUAUUGUUGGUGGUUUAAGAGCAGUUUAAAGUGCUAAGUGCUCUAAUAAUGCAAAAUCACUGCAUAGUCAGUAGAAGGAAAGACAAAAGAAGAGCAAUAGGAAUCACAACAUAAUUAUGACAAGUCAUGACCAGAGAAAGAUGGAGCUGACUAACACUAGCAAGAAAGAUGAAGCAAUCCAUACACCUAUUGCUUCCAAAUUAGUCAAACACAAGGGGAGAAAGUUGUUGGAAAGCGUGGAAAACCUCUCCAUUACAAUGUAGCACAUUCCACAGGAUUAUUCCCUACUUCAUGAUCCAGGGAAGUAAUUUUGCACUUGGUAAUGGAAGAGGUGGAGAAUCAGUCUAUGGCUAGAAGCUUGCUGACAAGAACAUCAGGAUGAAGCAUACUGGACCAGGGUUGUUUGGUGUUUUGUUCAAGAUUAUUGAGAGAUAUCACUUUCUUCUUUGUUGUUUUACACUCCCAAUUUUUCAGUUGCUGCCCCUAUAGCAGAGACGUCAGUACGAGCGAAGUAUAUCUCUGAACUUGUAAGUGAUCUUCAGAUUGUUUCUACUUUCUGGGCAUGCGAUCGUAAUGUUAGAGGAGCACCUCCCAUCUCUUCCAUUCCUCUCUCUGCAUUGGCAGUUUUGGAUGGAGAUGGACUAUAUGUUCCUCUUCUGUGAAAUAAAGUUUUUGUAUUCAAUUAAAAAAAAAAAAAAAAGAA
Long non-coding RNA from Quercus robur (English oak), 3007 nucleotides. RefSeq lists it as uncharacterized. The record is from RefSeq and is a predicted model, not a curated record. The transcript has 6 exons. NCBI's taxonomy places the organism in Eukaryota, Viridiplantae, Streptophyta, Magnoliopsida, Fagales, Fagaceae.